This 346-nucleotide ribosomal RNA is filed under the name uncultured bacterium. RNAcentral's name for it is "bacterial SSU rRNA". It matches the Rfam family "Bacterial small subunit ribosomal RNA", at positions 355 to 713 of the family's 1533-position model. The record is from RNAcentral.
UGGGGAAUAUUGCACAAUGGGCGGAAGCCUGAUGCAGCGACGCCGCGUGAGGGAUGACGGCCUUCGGGUUGUAAACCUCUUUCAGUAGGGAAGAAGCGCAAGUGACGGUACCUGCAGAAGAAGCGCCGGCUAACUACGUGCCAGCAGCCGCGGUAAUACGUAGGGCGCAAGCGUUGUCCGGAAUUAUUGGGCGUAAAGAGCUCGUAGGCGGUUUGUCGCGUCUGCUGUGAAAGCCCGGGGCUCAACCCCGGGUCUGCAGUGGGUACGGGCAGACUAGAGUGCAGUAGGGGAGACUGGAAUUCCUGGUGUAGCGGUGAAAUGCGCAGAUAUCAGGAGGAACACCGAU